AGCUUUGCAGAGGGCCUACAGCCGUGGCAGGACACUCUGGUGGGGACCACAGACGCAGCCUGUCACGAGGCUGUGAAGUGGGUGACUAACCUGCAUGCUCAGGGGAGCACCUCAGUCUUGCAAGCAUUGCUGGCAAGUUCCACCGCCAAGCCUGACCCAGUGGCAAAGCAGAAAUACCAUCGCCCCUAUCCUGACAUUGCGCCAUGCUUUGCAGUUUACAAAGAGCACUUUAGAAUUUACUGUUAAAUCAUUUCAUCUUCCCAGCAACCCAGUGAGGAUGAGAUUCUCGCUGUUCUCACUUUAUAGAUGAAGACACAGAGGCCCAGAGAGGUUAAGUGACUUGCUUGGGGUUAACCAGCUAGGAAGUGGGCUGAGCUCUUUCUCCUAAACCUCAGCAGCUUCCUGGUCUGUCAUAGGCUGAAAGAGGAGGCUCUCAGUCUUAAUGACAAGUCGGUGAGAUCCAACCAGACUUGGGGACAGCAGGCCAGUGGUUUCUGAGUCCUGGUUGGCCCCUCUUCUGAGCCAGACAACCUACAUGCUCUCUCAGAAAGCUCUCAGUUUUCCUGAUGUGGAAGGACUGUACCUCCUGACGGACGGGAAGCCAGACACAAGCUGCAGCCUUAUCCUCAGUGAAGUGCAAAGACUCACGGAGAAGAGAGACGUGAAAGUGCACACCGUCUCCCUGAACUGCUCAGACAGGACUCCAUGCUGCCACUAUUUGAAGGAGAUGAUUUAAGGAGAUUGGCCCAGGAGAUCACCAAGGCCAGAAGCUUCCUCUGGCAGGCCCAGUCCUUCAGGUCCCAACUCCAGAAGAAAAACAACACAGAACCGAAGGUCGCUCCGUUUUAGAAAAGUGUUCUCAGGUGCGACGCAGACUCGCCAUCAGCCCCUCUUGGAGGAAGAAGAAACAAGUGAGCCUCACCGCCACCCACUGCCCCUGCUCAUCUGAACUGAACUGAAGUCUGCUCUGGAGCCCAGUCCAGAGCGAAUGCUCAGCUCAAGCAUGUGAAAAUCGGGCUGGAGCUGCUGGGCCAGCCCUACUGUGUACAUAUGAAAUGACUGUGUCAUGUGUUAUGUCAGCUGGGCUCAUUUCUAAGACAGGAAAAAUUGCUUUUAUUUAAUUAAUAGGAUCAAAGUUACUUUUAAAUGGAUGUGAUCAUUGCUGUGUGUGUGUGUGUCUCUGUGUAAAUUUUUGGUGU
Aethalodelphis obliquidens (Pacific white-sided dolphin) is the source of this 1199-nucleotide long non-coding RNA. RefSeq lists it as uncharacterized. Lineage: Eukaryota; Metazoa; Chordata; Mammalia; Artiodactyla; Delphinidae. The transcript has 4 exons. The record is from RefSeq and is a predicted model, not a curated record.